AGGACGAACGCUGGCGGCGUGCUUAACACAUGCAAGUCGAACGGUGAAGGAGAGCUUGCUCUCUGGAUCAGUGGCGAACGGGUGAGUAACACGUGAGUAACCUGCCCUUGACUCUGGGAUAAGCGUUGGAAACGACGUCUAAUACCGGAUACGAGCUUCAGUCGCAUGGCUAGGAGCUGGAAAGAUUUCGGCAAGGAUGGACUCGCGGCCUAUCAGCUAGUUGGUGAGGUAAUGGCUCACCAAGGCGACG
This 250-nucleotide ribosomal RNA is filed under the name uncultured soil bacterium. RNAcentral describes it as "partial 16S ribosomal RNA". It matches the Rfam family "Bacterial small subunit ribosomal RNA", at positions 26 to 278 of the family's 1533-position model. The record is from RNAcentral.